Molecule: ribosomal RNA, 440 nt
Filed under: uncultured bacterium
Lineage: Bacteria
Description: partial 16S ribosomal RNA
Rfam family: Bacterial small subunit ribosomal RNA
Source: RNAcentral
CCUACGGGGGGCAGCAGUAGGGAAUAUUGCUCAAUGGGGGAAACCCUGAAGCAGCCACGCCGCGUGGAGGAUGAAGGUUUUCGGAUUUUAAACUCCUUUUUUUAGAGAAAAUAAUGACGUUAUCUAAAGAAUAAGCACCGGCUAACUUCGUGCCAGCAGCCGCGGUAAUACGGAGGGUGCAAGCGUUACUCGGAAUCACUGGGCGUAAAGAGCGAGUAGGCGGGAUAGCAAGUCUGAUGUGAAAUCCUAGGGCUGAACCAUAGAACUGCACUUGAAACUGUUAUUCUGGAGUAUGGGAGAGGUAGGUGGAAUUCUUGGUGUAGCGGUAAAAUCCGUAGAGAUCACGAGGAAUACUCAUUGCGAAGGCGACCUGCUAGAACGUAACUGACGCUGAUGCUCGAAAGCGUGGGGAGCAAACAGGAUUAGAUACCCCAGUAGUC